Oncorhynchus kisutch (coho salmon) is the source of this 1702-nucleotide long non-coding RNA. RefSeq lists it as uncharacterized. The record is from RefSeq and is a predicted model, not a curated record. NCBI's taxonomy places the organism in Eukaryota, Metazoa, Chordata, Actinopteri, Salmoniformes, Salmonidae. The transcript is spliced from 2 exons.
UCUCUCUCUCUCUCUCUCUCUUUCUCUAGGGUACAGCCUCUGUUCUCCAGCGUAGAUCUGACAAUGAGGAGUACGUCGAGGUUGGUCGUCUGGGGCCGUCCGACUACUUUGGUGAGAUCGCCCUGCUGCUGAACAGGCCGCGGGCGGCCACAGUGGUGGCCCGGGGACCCCUGAAGUGUGUGAAGCUGGACCGGCCCCGCUUCGAACGGGUCCUGGGGCCCUGCUCGGAGAUCCUAAAGAGGAACAUCCAGAGAUACAACAGCUUCAUCUCUCUCACCGUGUGAGGGGCCACCGGGGGCCAAAUGGGGAGGGAAAGGUGCGGAUGGGUGGGGAAGGGGGGUUCCGGUGACAGGGCUUCUUCCUGCCUUUUUUUCAUUUGGCGUUGUUCUUCUAAUUCUGAUCUUCUUCUUCUCCUUCACUUUGACCUGUACUGUCUCUGUAGCUUUAUUUAAAUGAACAAUGAAACAUGUGGGAUGAAUGUGGCGAGGACGGACAGACAGUGUGGAUGUACUUUAAAUGGCUCAUAUGUUACAGGGGUCAUAUAUGUUUACUGAAUAUGAUACAUGCUUGGAGAAUGCAAUGAAUGGAGGUAGAUUGCACUUGUAUGUAUUUUAUGUGGUAAACUAUAACAGGGGAGUGGUGGGGCAAUUCAGGAAGGGAAGUCAUGAAUUCAGGAAGUGAUGUCAUGUUUACGUACAGCGAUGGAGGAAGUUGGGUGUCUUUGCGCGCUGGUUGUAGUUUUUUGCCUUUUCGCUUUAGGGUCCUGGUCGUUGGUCCGUGGUUGCCAUUUCUACGUCAAAUCAACCCACUACCUGAUGACACAGGCCUUUGUUACCUAAAAACUAGAGGUAGACGUAAAAACAACUUUAAUUCUUGUCUGUUUCAUUGAUCUCAAUGCUUUUUAACUGUGCUUGUGUUGCUGGUACGAAUGACGAUGGGGUGUUUGUUAGAAGUUAUAUUUUCAAUAGGGGUUUUAUUGAUGGAUGCUGCAAAUGUGCCAUGUGAAGGAGUGUGGCUUUUAUUUUGUAAAGAUACCUCCAUUCUGAUGUUUUAUCUGAAUCUGAAUCUGUAAAUUGUUCCAAAGGCGCAAUAGUGUUUGUUAGAUUAACACACACACACACACUCUCUCAAACACAUAACACACAGACACGGUCACACACUAACAGACACACACAUGCACAUGUACACACACAUACACAAACACACACGUUCUGACAUACACUCAUACAGGUGGAUAUACACACACACAUACACACACUCACACACACACAAACCCACUCACACACACACACACACUCUCUCAGGACUAUAAAUUCAUAAUACAAAUGUCUUACACUGGAUGCUUUUUCAGCUGAUUUUGGUCUGUGUUAAAUUGAUUGGUGAGAUCAUUUUCCAUCACUUUACAGUUCUUAGCUUUUGGUGAAUACAGCAGUUUGUUUAAAUUGUUUUGAUGAUGUUGAUUUAAAUGUUAUUAUAAAUGUUUAAACCAGAGAAAUAGACAAAGUUAUGUUACUCUCUUUCUAAGUCAUUGGAGAUUGUGAUCUCUAUCUCGAUUCAAAGUUGCACAAUAAUUGACCAAUGGCAGAUGAUGUCCAAUGGAGCUGACCUAUAGAACAGCAUCUUUCUGUAUUCCACACUCUCAUUGGUUCUCAUCAUAUUAUUCCAUCCUUUUCAGCAAAUAAAUACAAGCUUCUGAACUCCA